CCUACGGGAGGCAGCAGUGGGGAAUCUUCCGCAAUGGGCGAAAGCCUGACGGAGCAACGCCGCGUGAUCGAAUGAAGGCCUUCGGGUUGUAAAGCUCUGUUGACAGGGACGAAUAAGCAGUGCGAAUAGUUUUUUGUAUGACGGUACCUGUUUAGAACGCUCCGGCUAACUACGUGCCAGCAGCCGCGGUAAUACGUAGGGAGCAAGCGUUGUCCGGAAUUACUGGGCGUAAGGGGCGCGUAGGUGGGCGUUUAAGUCAGGUGUGAAAAUUCCGGGCUCAACCUGGAGACUGCACUUGAAACUGGGGGUCUUGAGGGCAGGAGAGGAAAGUGGAAUUCCUAGUGUAGCGGUGAAAUGCGUAGAUAUUAGGAGGAACACCAGUGGCGAAGGCGACUUGCUGGACUGUACCUGACGCUGAGGCGCGAAAGCGUGGGUAGCGAACGGGAUUAGAUACCCGUGUAGUC
RNAcentral lists this ribosomal RNA (464 nucleotides) under uncultured bacterium. RNAcentral's name for it is "partial 16S ribosomal RNA". It matches the Rfam family "Bacterial small subunit ribosomal RNA", at positions 338 to 795 of the family's 1533-position model. The record is from RNAcentral.